Molecule: long non-coding RNA, 1480 nt
Filed under: Salvia miltiorrhiza (redroot sage)
Lineage: Eukaryota; Viridiplantae; Streptophyta; Magnoliopsida; Lamiales; Lamiaceae
Description: long non-coding RNA (SMIL_LNC008635)
Source: RNAcentral
CUGUCGUGAGUCAUCUCUUCUCCUAUAACGUUCUUUAACGAGUGCAAAAAAGAAAAAAGAAAAAAACAUGUGUUAGAUUCCGGGUGAAUUUGAUUGCGAGUAAGAUCUCCUGUUCAUAGUUUGUUGUGUCAUUAUAUUUAUUAUUAUAUAAUAAACUCUAAUUAAUUAUUACUAAAAAAAAUAUAUUCCCUACUUUUUAAUUAGUUAACUCUAAUAAUUAAUUAGUAAUUCAAAACUUAAAUAAAUAUAAAAUAAUUGUAAAUCCUAAAUUAUGAAUCUUAGUUAAUAUCUUAUAAUUAUACAAAAUAUAAUACUCUUUCCGUUCAAAAAAAUAGUCUAUUUUUAUCAUUUUGGGACAUCCACAAAAACUAGUUCAUUUUUAUUUUUGGACAAUACCUUACAACUUAUUAUUUUCAACACACCUACUUGUUUACCCUUUGUACCACAUGCUUAUCCACUCAUAAUACAAUUAAUUAUUAAUAUUAACAGUGUUUGUGUGCUAGCCAAGCGGUAAGGGGUUAACGCCCGAGGCCAAAGGUCUUGAGCUCGAGUCCCUUGUGGCGCGACCUUUAAAUUUCUUUAUCUAAAUACUGUUAAUUUAUCAAUGUUAACAUUAUCAUUUAAGUGAUAUUAUUUCUUCACUCACAAUAUACUCAAUUAUUUUUAUUAAAAUAUGUGUCAUUUCCUUCUAAGAUUACAUACAUUUAAUUAUUUUUAUUAAACUCGUGCCGUCUCUCUUUUAAGACUAUUUUUUAUGAAUGGAGGGAAUAACUUAGAAUUAAAACACUAAAUAAAACUAUAACAAAAUGAAAUUUGAAUACAUAAUAAGACAUUAAAAAUGGGACAUAUAAAAUUCGACGUGGGGUUGCCUCAAGUUUACAAAUUGCAAAGUGCUGAAACUCGCGUAGUACGGAAAAUAAAGUGUAAAUUUAAAUACAUCGAAAUAUGUGACCAUAUGUGCCAAUAAUUUGCUAAGUGGUAUUAAAUAAUUAGGUGAAAUGAUGUGGAAUGAUAUUGAUAUUGCAACCACUUAUAAAAUGUGGGUAGAAGUAAAAAUGAAUAAAUGAUCUUUGAUCUGGUUGGCUUUUUCUCGGAGGGCAGAAUAUGCUCGCUAAUGUAUAUUUGAUUUUUCCAACUUGUUGAGUGCACAAAUAAUAAAGUUCACUCAAAAGUUAAAACAUAGGGAAUCAAAAUUAGUUGGACGAGACCUAUAACUCAAUAGCCAUAUAGGGUAAGAAGGGGUUGGCCUACCACCUUUGUCACCUUCUCUUUCAAGUUCAUGCAUCAAAUUUGCUAUCGGAAACCAUGGACCACCACUCCUCCAUACCAGCCGCUCCUGUUCCCUUACCUUUGUGUAAAAGUAACACUGUCCCUCUCACUCUCUACACUCACACACAAUGUGGUAAAACAACAAAAGAAAAGAAUGCAAGUAAUAAUAACAUCAGCGGCUUUGUUGUACUUUGUGAUGCACCUAAGUGGG